UCUCCGUAGGUGAACCAGCGGAGGGAUCAUUCAAAGUAGCGGCGAAAUGGCGCUUAUAUCAAUCGAGAACCUACUCAUCAGCGAUGUCAGGGCGGGUGCGUUCUCAUGAGCGCUAAACGGGAACCAUUAUCGCAACUCUUUGUCUGAAAAAUAUGAUGGCUGGAACAACUCAAAAUACAUCUUUCAAUAACGGAUCUCUUGGCUCUCGCACCGAUGAACAACACUUCAAACCAGAGGAGCAUUCGUUUUAACUCCGGUCAAUAACGACGCAGUUCGGAG
Molecule: unclassified non-coding RNA, 279 nt
Filed under: plant metagenome
Description: partial contains small subunit ribosomal RNA, internal transcribed spacer 1, and 5.8S ribosomal RNA
Source: RNAcentral